CUGACAUCAGCAGGGAAUGACCUUAGGAACCUGGCAUUAAUAUGCAAUUUUGUGCUGACUUCCGGUUGGUCUCCCGUUAUGGCAGCCGGGAGCUGUUUCGGCUGAAAGAGCCCCAGUGCUUUGAAGAAGGGCGAGACCACGAGAGCAUCGUGGUUCCAAAAAAAAACCUCUCAGAGGGCCCAUGGCUGCCUGGGCAGAUUAGCAUGGCAGAUUCUGUGGAACGCCCUCCCAUCAGAUGUCAAGAAAAUAAACAACUAUCCGACUUUUAGAAGACAUCUGAAGGCAGCCUUGUUAUUGAGGUUUUUAAUGUUUGAUGUACUUAUUGUCAGUAUUUUCACUGCCAACUAUUGCAAAGGGUCACAUGAUCCAAUGUUUACAUUUCUUACCACUGUAUGUAUAUGGGCGGAAGUCAAAUUGACAACUUUUGCUCUUUGUUCUCUCUCCAGACAGAGAGGAUGUGUGAGAAGAUGCUCUCACAGCACGCCAUUAUUCUUUCGGUUUGUUUGUUUUCUUUGCUUUUGCUGAUUAGCCUGAAAGAGAAGUGCUUUGCCAGUCAUAAAUAUCUGCUGUUGUGGGCUGCAUUUGCUGGCUGAAGAGAAUGGCAGAGAUGGCCGCAACCCAGGGUGGAAACAAGGCUUUCACAUUUCCUUGCCUAGAUGCGACGAACUACGCCACAUGGAGCUUUCGAAUGGAGAGUCUGCUGCUGCAUGAGAGGCUAUGGCAUGUCGUGUCGGAGGAUGCCCCAGCCCCACUCAUGAAUGCGUGGACUGCCGCAGAUUGGAGGGCUAGAGGCACGAUUGCAUUGAGAGUCUCUGACGCCCAAUUAAUCAAUCUGCAAGGCGCCACCCAACACCUUUGCAAAGACAGAAGCCUGUUCAUCCAGCUUGAGAUGCAGGAGGGAAAGAUUCAUCAAACUGACGGAGGGCUGUUGCAGAGCAAGGGAGAAGGGACUGUUUUUUAAAAGCCUCAACACAACAAUCAAGAAUAUACUAUAUGUCCCACACCUGGCACAUAAUCUUCUGAGCAUAUCGCAGCUCACUUCACAGGAUUUCUGAGUGUGUUUCACUAAGACCAAGUGUGAAAUUAUCAAGGGCAAUGAGGUCAUUUUUAAUGGCA
RNAcentral lists this long non-coding RNA (1116 nucleotides) under Podarcis muralis (Common wall lizard). RNAcentral's name for it is "lncRNA (ENSPMRG00000009832.1)". Lineage: Eukaryota; Metazoa; Chordata; Lepidosauria; Squamata; Lacertidae. The record is from RNAcentral.